This 204-nucleotide ribosomal RNA is filed under the name uncultured bacterium. RNAcentral describes it as "partial 16S ribosomal RNA". It matches the Rfam family "Bacterial small subunit ribosomal RNA", at positions 524 to 722 of the family's 1533-position model. The record is from RNAcentral.
GACGUAGGGCGCGAGCGUUGUCCGGAUUUAUUGGGCGUAAAGAGGCUCGUAGGCGGCUUGUUGCGUCGACUGUGAAAACCCGCGGCUUAACUCGCGGGCUUGCAGUUGAUACGGGCAGGCUAGAGUUCGGUAGGGAGACUGGAAUUCCUGGUGGUAGCGGUGAAAUGUCGCAGAGUAUCAAGGAGGAACACCGGUGGCGAAGGC